This is a long non-coding RNA of Cynoglossus semilaevis (tongue sole), 757 nucleotides long. RefSeq lists it as uncharacterized. Lineage: Eukaryota; Metazoa; Chordata; Actinopteri; Pleuronectiformes; Cynoglossidae. The transcript is spliced from 4 exons. The record is from RefSeq and is a predicted model, not a curated record.
UCUCCUCCUCCUUCUCCUCCUCGUCCUCAGAUCUGUUCCCCGGUCGCUGUGUGAUGUAGGGCCCAAAGAAUGGGGAAACACCUUCCAAGGAGAAAACACAUGCACUUUGACAACCCACACACACACUCGCAGAGUUCCUCACAGAGCAGUGAAUAGUGAGAGGUCAGCAUAUGCUGCAUGAGAACUUGGACUUGGAGUUGGAUUUCUUUAAAUUGAAGAAAAAGAAGAACAAGAAAAAGGACAUCAACCCAGAGACACAACACUAAAGACACAAAUUAACCAGACAGGAUUCAGAUGUCACCUGACUAGUGGAUCAUGGGAUGAGCUCUUGACCUACUGUGGCCAGAGAAGGAGCUUCCUGUUUACGGCCAGCUGUGCAUCACCGCAUCCUGACUCAGGACACUGACCAGAUCCUGGCCUCUGGCCUCUAACCCUGGAGGCCCUGGGGGGUGGGGGGGGUUGAAGAUGAGGUAUACCACCCUCUUGGCCCUGCUGAUUGGGGUCAUGCUGUACUUGGUGAUGGGAGCACUUGUCUUCCGCACCCUUGAGGCUCCCAAGGAGAUCACAGCAUACCAAGACUUGGUUAAAACCAAGGAGAAGUUCCUGGAUAAUAAGUCAUGUCUGACUGAGCAGGACCUUCAAAAACUGGUGAAGGGCAUGAUGUCAGCAGUAGAUGCUGGACUGGAUGUGAGCAGUCUCUCUUCAAACUUCACUAGCCGUUGGGAUUGGGCCUCUUCCAUUUUCUUCUGUGGAACUA